Long non-coding RNA from Scylla paramamosain (green mud crab), 1566 nucleotides. RefSeq lists it as uncharacterized. NCBI's taxonomy places the organism in Eukaryota, Metazoa, Arthropoda, Malacostraca, Decapoda, Portunidae. The record is from RefSeq and is a predicted model, not a curated record. The transcript has 4 exons.
GAAUAGGAAAACGCUGGUUAAUAGAGCAUGUGGGGUAAGACUUAACAGUGCUGACCAAAACACUGCAGCCUGGCGACCAGCCGCCUGCCUUCCCUCCACAGCGCCACUUGUCACAGCUCCUCCACACACACACACACACACACACACACCGUGACAUGUUAUUAAAUAAUAUGUCAAAUAAUAUGAAUAUCCUCACUUCCUCACUCCCCUUUCCCCACUCCACACCCGCUACGUGAUUGUGAACGUAAACUUCACUUCACUUACUGCUGUGCCGUGUCACCGCAGCAAACACGAACGAGCGCAGGAUAGGUUCAACUAAAAUGUUCCUACUCUCUCUCUCUCUCUCUCUCUCUCAUGAGUGUUUCUCAAAGCCACAAAGAUGAUUAGCAAGGUUUCCAAAGGUGUUUGUCCUGUUAGUAAUAAUGAAAUGUUGUUAAUCUGUUGUUUAUUUCUCGAUUAACUUUAGCUCUGUGUGUGUGUGUGUGUGUGUGUGUGUGUGUGUCAAUACUACGUUACCAUGAGAUACAUAACCUUAUCCGCCGCUUCCCCCGCCACCCUUCUCCAUGCUUCCUCCCUGCCAGCGUCACCCCAAUCAGCUUCUCUUUUUCCAUUGCCCUCACCUCCUCCGACUCCCUGUCGGGUAAUGGGGUUGUCGUGUCCCUGCAGCUGCCCCUGACUGGCCAGCUGACGCCCCUUUAUGUCUACUGGACCGAGGUGAGCCAGGCAACGACUCAAGGUCCUUGAGGUGCUGAAGCCUGGGACACCCUCGCACCAAGACACGGGCUGAGUCUAUUGUCAAUUUAGGGGCCAGCCGGACUGUGAACUCCUGUACCUUCUGCAGGCUUUUAUUGCGCACCAGCUGAGUUAUCUGGGAGUCUCGCAUCUGUUGGUGGUGGUGGUGAAAAACAAUCUCCACAUCAGUGAGGGCAAGUGCAUUGGUGAAGAUAACAUCAGUGUACGCUGGAGGCAAAACACACUUUAUCUUCACCACCUGCAGUUUCGUCAGUGCAGCACGUUUGAAGCUCUCGACGGCUGUGAGGGGAGCCUGGCAGUCUUCGCCCUCCAGAGUGAGGUGUCGCAGUGACUUGCAGGUGGUAAAAAUGAGAGCCACGUCCAGGUGUCGGCAGCUGACUGUGAGAGCUGUGAGUUGACGCCCAACAACAGUUACCAUCUCCGAGACAGACUGUGCUGUCACAUUGACUAGACUGAGGUGCUGUGGGAAUGUGCAAUAGGGUGUUACAAUGUGUUACAGUGUUAGCAUGAAUGCUGUGAACAUGCAGUAGCCAGUUUCUUUCUUAUAUAUGAUCAGAGACAGGCAAUAAACUAUAAAGCUUAAGAAAUUAACAGAAUUAUAUCACCACUCUGGGAAAUGAAGAUAUAUUUUCUAGUAAGUGCAGGAUCGUUCCAUCAUAAGACCAUUUGAUGCAUAAGAAACUAAUAAUACAGAAAAAUAAAUCAGGGAUUACUUUUAAUAAUAUUAUCCUGAGAAAUCUAAUCAUACAGGAUUUAAGGUGAGGCAAGUGAUGCAAGGAAAUGUAACAACACAUAAUAAAGAGAUAUACCAUU